AGUUUUUGUUCUUUAGUCUUUACUCCCUAACAUAAUUUCAGUGGUAAAUCAUUUAUAAAAGAAAUAAGUUCUAAAACAAAUUGCAAUAAUAUGACUUUUUUUAGCCUAGAUUAACAGAAAAAGAACUCUAUUACUAAAACCCAACAAAGAUUUUGCAGAAGUGCCCAACAAAUAACGAAUGCACUGAAAUAUUUACAAAAAUGCUAAAACCCAAUUUGCUCAAAAGGAUGAGACAACAAACAAGAUUCUUGUAACUAAUCACAAUUUUGUAAUGCUGGAUACACAU
This 286-nucleotide unclassified non-coding RNA is filed under the name Hevea brasiliensis (rubber tree). The record is from RNAcentral. Lineage: Eukaryota; Viridiplantae; Streptophyta; Magnoliopsida; Malpighiales; Euphorbiaceae.